RNAcentral lists this long non-coding RNA (203 nucleotides) under Lathyrus oleraceus (garden pea). Its description in RNAcentral is "Pisum sativum (pea) long non-coding RNA (PSAT_LNC011617)". Lineage: Eukaryota; Viridiplantae; Streptophyta; Magnoliopsida; Fabales; Fabaceae. The record is from RNAcentral.
UUUUUUAUAUCCCUAAUUUUUUCCCGAACCCUUUUUAUUAUUUUUUUUGGUUCGUCGGGAUGCCCAUUUCUGCCUGGACUCUUUCUUUUUAUUGUCUAGCGGGUCAAUUAUGCGAAGUAUUUUUUAACUACGUCUGAGUUGACAGGGGAUGAGAAGUCUUCGCCAUCCAUGGUUGUUAGCAUCAAAGCUCCGCUAGAGAAAAC